This 691-nucleotide long non-coding RNA is filed under the name Panax ginseng (ginseng). RNAcentral describes it as "long non-coding RNA (PGIN_LNC010811)". Lineage: Eukaryota; Viridiplantae; Streptophyta; Magnoliopsida; Apiales; Araliaceae. The record is from RNAcentral.
GAAUAUUGAACGAAAAUGAUAUUCCUUAUGAAUAUUGAACGAAAAUAAUAUUCCUUACGAAUACGAAAAAUAAUAUCUCUUACGAAUAUGAAAUAAAUAAUACCCCUUACCUUAAAAGGAGAGUAAUUAUGACUGGUAUAUCGGGGAUAUUCUUGAAUAAAACUUGCACUAUUUGUUACACUCAAAGUUUCCUUAAACUCAAAAGAAAUACGCCCAAUAUUAUAGAAGAAUAAUUCUCUGAUUCUGGCGUGAUUUUCAUUUCUAAACUAAGCAUCAUAUUUAUAGGAGAAUGGCAGGAUACUAUUUAGAAAAAUAAUCACAGACGCACAGUAACAAAAUCACGGGCGAAAUUCUUUGGCGAAAAAACUAAUUUUUCUUAUUUCACUAUGCAGUACUAUUCACUAUUCAGUACUAUGCAAAUACUAUGCAAUAUAAAAUAAAAAUUGAAAUAACUUUCUACGGACGAUUUUGAAAAAUGAGUAAGUGGGGGUCUAUGUAAUAAGCCAAAUUUAUAGUAAAUACUUCAUGACAAACCCCUUUAUUUAUCACAAAUCACUUGACUAAACACAUUUGUAAUCUUUCAACAAUUAUUCAUCAUUAAUAUUAUAACUCACAAUAUUAACAACCAGAUCAUUCCCAGAAAAGAAGGGGCUUUCUGAUAAGGACUUCUCCUUAUUAGCGUACAAUUAAA